RNAcentral lists this ribosomal RNA (376 nucleotides) under uncultured bacterium. RNAcentral describes it as "bacterial SSU rRNA". It matches the Rfam family "Bacterial small subunit ribosomal RNA", at positions 523 to 898 of the family's 1533-position model. The record is from RNAcentral.
AUACGUAGGGAGCGAGCGUUGUCCGGAUUUACUGGGUGUAAAGGGUGCGUAGGCGGCUCUGCAAGUCAGGUGUGAAAACCAUCGGCUUAACUGAUGGACUGCAUUUGAAACUGUGGGGCUUGAGUGGAGUAGAGGCAGACGGAAUUCCCGGUGUAGCGGUGAAAUGCGUAGAGAUCGGGAAGAACACCAGUGGCGAAGGCGGUCUGCUGGGCUCUAACUGACGCUGAGGCACGAAAGCAUGGGUGGCAAACAGGAUUAGAUACCCUGGUAGUCCAUGCCGUAAACGAUGAUUACUAGGUGUGGGGAGUCUGACCCUCUCCGUGCCGGAGUUAACACAAUAAGUAUCCCGCCUGGGGAGUACGGCCGCAAGGUUGAA